ACCACCAGUAGUCCAGCGGCCCAAGACGCCGGGUACCGCGGGGUUCGAGUCCCCCGAGGCUGCGUGCACGCACCUCAAACCCGCGUGAGCGGGAACGGCCCCGGCGCGGUAACCCCGGUUCGAAUCCGGGCGGUGGACAACCA
This 143-nucleotide transfer RNA is filed under the name Streptomyces sp. A73. RNAcentral describes it as "tRNA-OTHER". The record is from RNAcentral. Lineage: Bacteria; Bacillati; Actinomycetota; Actinomycetes; Kitasatosporales; Streptomycetaceae.